CGGAAGUAGUUCAGCGGUAGAACACCACCUUGCCAAGGUGGGGGUCGCGGGUUCGAACCCCGUCUUCCG
This 69-nucleotide transfer RNA is filed under the name uncultured Ureibacillus sp. It matches the Rfam family "tRNA". From Rfam's summary of the family: Transfer RNA (tRNA) molecules are approximately 80 nucleotides in length. The record is from RNAcentral. Lineage: Bacteria; Bacillati; Bacillota; Bacilli; Caryophanales; Caryophanaceae.